UGGCCCUCCCGGGGUCCGAGUUGUAAUUUGCAGAGGGUGCUUUGGCAUCGGCUGCGGUCCAAGUCCCUUGGAACAGGGCGUCGGAGAGGGUGAGAAUCCCGUAUCUGGCCGCCAGCCUUCGCCGUGUAAAGCCCCUUCGACGAGUCGAGUUGUUUGGGAAUGCAGCUCCAAGUGGGAGGUAAAUUUCUUCUAAAGCUAAAUACCGGCCAGAGACCGAUAGCGCACAAGUAGUGUGAACGAAAGAUGAAAAGCACUUUGGAAAGAGAGUCAAAAAGCACGUGAAAUUGUUGAAAGGGAAGCGCUUGCAGCCAGACGUGCCCGCGGUCGCUCAGCCAGGCCCUCCGCCUGGUGCACUCCUCCGCGGGCAGGCCAGCAUCGGUUCCGGUGGUCGGACAAAGGCCUGCUAAACGUACCUCCCCCGGGAGGACUUAUAGGGUAGGUGGCAUACGACCAGCUGGGAUCGAGGUCCGCGCUUCGGCGAGGAUGCUGGCGUAAUGGUGGCAAGCGGCCCGUCUUGAAACACGGACCAAGGAGUCUAACAUCUAUACGAGUGUUUGGGUGGCAAGCCCAGGCGCGCAAUGAAAGUGAACGGAAGUGGGAUCCCUUCGCCGGGUGCACCAUCGACCGAUCCUGAAGUCUUCGGAUGGAUUUGAGUAAGAGCAUAGCUGUUGGGACCCGAAAGAUGGUGAACUAAGCUUGAAUAGGGUGAAGCCAGAGGAAACUCUGGUGGAGGCUCGCAGCGGUUCUGACGUGCAAAUCGAUCGUCAAAUUUGGGCUUAGGGGCGAAAGA
This 790-nucleotide ribosomal RNA is filed under the name Phaeoseptum manglicola. Its description in RNAcentral is "Phaeoseptum sp. VVS-2018b partial large subunit ribosomal RNA". It matches the Rfam family "Eukaryotic large subunit ribosomal RNA", at positions 123 to 930 of the family's 3401-position model. Lineage: Eukaryota; Fungi; Ascomycota; Dothideomycetes; Pleosporales; Phaeoseptaceae. The record is from RNAcentral.